RNAcentral lists this ribosomal RNA (500 nucleotides) under uncultured eukaryote. Its description in RNAcentral is "bacterial SSU rRNA". It matches the Rfam family "Eukaryotic small subunit ribosomal RNA", at positions 145 to 611 of the family's 1831-position model. The record is from RNAcentral.
AACCGUAGUAAUUCUAGGGCUAAUACGUGCGAAGCGCCCGAAGCCGCGAGGCGACGGGCGUUCUCGCCGGAUGUAGGAACCGACCCGGGGACCGCCGGGGCAACCCGGCGCCCCCGAGACGGGGCGAACCACGGUGAAAAUGACGGAUCGUCGGCCCCGCGCCGGCGACUCGCCGAAUGAGUUUUCUGACCUAUCAACUCGAGACGGCGGGGUAGAGGCCCGCCGCGGUAACGACGGGGUAACGGGGGAAUCAGGGUUCGAUUCCGGAGAGGGGAGCCCCGAGAAAACGGCUACCACUUCCAAGGAAGGCAGCAGGCGCGCAACUUACCCUAAUCUCGAUUCGAGGAGGUAGUGACAAGAAAAUACCGAUGCGGGGACCCCUACGGGGUGCCGCGUUCGGAAUGAGUACGAUUCGAACCACCUAACGAGGAACGAUCGGAGGGCAAGUCUGGUGCCAGCAGCCGCGGUAAUUCCUAGCUCCAAUAGCGUACGUUAAAGUU